CGCGUGGGUAAUCUACCCAGAAGUGGGGGAUAGCUUCGGGAAACCGGGGGUAAUACCGCAUAUGUCCCAGACGACGCGAGUUGAUUGGGGCAAAGGCGGGGCUCUUCGGACCUGUCGCUUCUGGAUGAGCCCGCGUCCGAUUAGCUAGUUGGUGAGGUAAUGGCUCACCAAGGCAUCGAUCGGUAGCCGGCCUGAGAGGGUGAUCGGCCACAUUGGGACUGAGACACGGCCCAG
This 234-nucleotide ribosomal RNA is filed under the name uncultured bacterium. Its description in RNAcentral is "partial 16S ribosomal RNA". It matches the Rfam family "Bacterial small subunit ribosomal RNA", at positions 114 to 334 of the family's 1533-position model. The record is from RNAcentral.